Molecule: ribosomal RNA, 1383 nt
Filed under: Chironomus plumosus
Lineage: Eukaryota; Metazoa; Arthropoda; Insecta; Diptera; Chironomidae
Description: 16S ribosomal RNA
Source: RNAcentral
UAAAAUAGAAACUUAAUAUAAUUUUAAAUUAGUAAAAAUUUUUAUUUUUUUUUAAUAAAAAUAUUUUUUUUAGUUUAAGUAAAUAUAAUUGAAAAAAUAAAUUUAUAUUUAUAGUGUAAAGUAUUGAAAAAGAAAGUUGAAAUAAAUUGAAAAAUAAUUUUAAAAAAAGAAAAAUUUAUUUUUUGUUCCUUGUGUAUCAGGAUUAAUUAAAUUUAAAAUUUUUAAUAAAAAAUAAUUUAUAAUUUAAAAGAUUUAUAAGUUUUUAAUUUUUAUUAUGUAAAAAAUAUUGAUUAAAAAUUUAUUGAAAUGAGACGUUAAUCGUUUUUAAAGUUAUAUAAUUUUUAAAGAAAUAAAUUUAAUUUAGAAAUUAUAAUUUAUUAUAAGAAUAAUUAUUAAUUUUUAUAAUUUUAUAAUUUUAAUAUUUUAGGGGUUGAGCUUUAAAAUAAAAUUUUAAAAAUAAAGGUAUAAAAAUAAAAAAGAAAAUAAUCUUAAAAAUAGAUAUUUUUAAUUAAUUUGUUUUAAUUAAUUUUUUAUUUUUUAAUAUUUAUUAUUUUGUAAAUUUUAAUUUUUUAUUUAAAUGAUUAUUUUAAUAAAAUAAAAUGAUUUAAUAAUAAUUAAAUUAGUAAUUUUUAAAUUGUUUAAAAUAUAAUAAAAAAGUUAUUUUAAAAUUAUGAACUAGGCAAUAUUAUUUUUAACUGUUUAACAAAAACAUUGUUUUUUAAAAAUUUUAAAAAAUAAGACCUGCACACUGAAAAUUUUAAAGAGCCGCGGUAAUUUGACCGUGCAAAGGUAGCAUAAUCAUUAGUUUUUUAAUUGAAGACUGGGAUGAAAGGUUUAAUAAAAAAUAAGCUUUAUUAUUUUAAAAAUAAAUGAAUUUAUUAUUUUAGUAAAAAAACUAAAAUUUUGAUAAAAGACGAUAAGACCCUAUAAAGCUUUAUAAUAAAAAUUUAUAUAAUUUUUUUAGAAUAUUAUAAAUUUUAUUUAUUAAUUAUUUAAUUGGGGUGAUUUAAAGAUUUAUUUAACUCUUUAUAGAAUUUUUUUAAUAAUAGUUAAUAUAGAGAUCCUUAAAUUUUGGAUUUAAAAAUUAAGUUACUUUAGGGAUAACAGCGUAAUUUUUUUGGAGAGUUCAAAUCGAUAAAAGAGUUUGCGACCUCGAUGUUGGAUUAAGAUAUAAUUUUAGGUGUAGAAGUUUAAAUUUUUAGUCUGUUCGACUAUUUAUUCUUACAUGAUCUGAGUUCAAACCGGUUUAAGCCAGGUUGGUUUCUAUCUUUAUUUAAAUAUUAUAUUUUAGUACGAAAGGACCAAAUAUAAAAAUAUUUUUUUUUAAGUAUGAAUAAAAUUAAUAUAAAAAAGAAUUUAAUAAUAAAAUUUUUACAAUAAAGG